CACACUGUCCCCGCGGUGUCCCCGCGGUGUCCCCGCGCCCUCAGGGACGCUGCGGGCGGGCCCGGCCAUGGCGGCGCCGCGCUGAGGGCGGGGCGGGGCGCGCAUGCGCAGCCGGGCCCGCGCUGCGUCUCCGGCGCCGCCGGGAGGGAGCGGAGCGGCCGCAGCCGCGGCCCCGCUGCGGGGAUGGGGCAGCGCUCGGUGCCGCUGCCGCCGCUGCUGCUGCCCGUGCUGGUGCUGUGGCAGCUCGCCGGAGCCCAGGAUGAGGGUGCGUGUGCCCCGCCGGAGCGGCUGCAGUACGCGGAGCUCAACGAGCCCUUCAGGGAAAUGCAGAAUUUCCCAGUCGGGACCCAAAUCUCCUUCAGCUGCCGGCCGGGAUACAUGAGAGCCCCGGGGAUGUCACUGACCCGCACCUGCGGUGCUGACUUGCAGUGGUCACCCACCACCGUGUUCUGUACAGAGAGAAAAUGUACGUACCCCGGAGACUUGGAAAAUGGUUAUUUUGAUCCUGGAGAUCUUACAUUUGGUUCAAAACUGACAUUUUCUUGUAAUGAAGGAUACAGAUUACGAGGUAAUCAAGAAAUUACCUGUGUUAUCAAGAAUGAAGGCGUUGGCUGGAGUGGAACUCUGCCUUACUGUGAAAAAAUCCCCUGUGCGCCCCCUCCCCAGAUUGCCAACGGGGUCUACGAGGAGAGGGCCAGCUACGUGUACCAGAGCUCUGUGACCUACCGGUGUCAGGAUGUCCCCAGGGGCAGUGAUCCCUUCUCCCUCAUCGGCCCUGACACCAUUUUCUGCACUUCUGAUGCCAACUCCAACGGGGUUUGGAGCGGGCCGCCCCCACAGUGCCGAGUGGUCAAAUGUAAAAACCCCAGCGUAAAAAAUGGGAGAAAAAUAUCUGGAUUUGGGCAUUCCUACACUUACAAGGACUCGGUUGUGUUUGAGUGUGACCAAGGCUAUUUCAUGGUUGGAGCAGAGAUAAUUACCUGUGAAGAAAAUAACACCUGGGUUCCUCCAGAACCAACUUGUGAGAAAAUCACUGCAGAUGUGUGUCCUGCCCCGAAGAUCCCCAACGGGGUCCUGAUCCCAGCCAAGGCUGCCUAUGGGAAAGGGGAGUCUGUGCAGAUCAGGUGCAGCCCUGGCUGCUCCUUCCCCGAUGGCUCUGCAGAGGUGACAGUGACCUGCCAGGAGCAGAGCUCCUGGGGUGCUUUACAGCCCUGUGCCUGUGAGUCUGAAGGUUCUGGUUCCACACCAGUCAUAAGCUACGGGAGAGUGACAGCUGGACAAAAACCUUCCUACUCCGUGGGGGAUUUCAUCAGCAUCGAGUGUUACACGGGGUACAGCCUGCACGGGGAGCCCCGCAUUCAGUACGUGGGCAACAACCAGUGGGAGCCUGCAGUGCCCAGCUGCCAGCUCAGUGGAUAUAUUAUUGCCAUCAUCUGUGUGAUUGUGGUAGUUGUGGUGCUCCUGGCAGCCUUCUGGAUCUACAAGAAAUUCUUCUCACAAAAUGGCUCAUACACAGUUGAUGAGAGUUGCAAGGAAACUUGUGUUUUAAAAGCUAAUGUGCCAGCUGAGAUGGAAGAAACUGCACAAAUGAAUUAAUGAAAAGAAGAGGAUAAAUAAGGGUCUAACAAGAUCUUUUGAAACCUUCUUAUGAAAAGGAAACGUGACAGCACUCCCAGUUCUGCCGAAUAUAAGAUGUGUAAAGCAUGACUGACCUUUCUGGGGGUGGGAGGGACUUUGCAGUGGAAUUUCCCUGCCAGAGCUGGAAAAUGAUUGAUUCCCCUCUCAGUGAGCUGCUGUCCAUGCGUCCCUUGCGCUGUGUCUUGCUCUGCUGAUGAACUGGAGGAGGAGAUGCUUGCUAGGAUAAAAAGUGUGUGUGAUACAGAUAACACAGACAGAUCCUGCUCUGCCUCCUGGGCCCCUCCUUGUCCUCCCGUGCACGUGAGCUGGGGGAAGGCAGUACCUGCAGCAUGCCAGAGUCUGUGGGAGUGCUGGAAUGUCACUGUCCCUGUGCCAGCUGCUGCCUGCUCCCUUCAGUGCCACCUCUGUGCUUACAGAACACUUCCAAUGUUCUCCUCCCUCCUGCAGAGCUGUGCUCACUCAAACCUUCUUGUCCUUCCCGUCCCUCUUUGCAGCUGAGGUGGUGUAAAUGGUUCUGUUGAAGGCCACAUCUUUUGAAAACUAUCACGAUUAAGGUCUUAUAUACUCUACCUCUUUGGUUGCUGUGUAUAUAAUGAAUUAAAGUGUGCCUUGAAAUCAGAGUUUUAUGGCUUUUCCUUUGCUUUUAAGAAGGAAAAAAGCCAUAUCUAUUUCUGAUUCUUUGCUGUAAUCCCCCAAAGACUGCAGUGGAUUUGUUAGAACUGAAGGAUUCUGUAGCAAGGGCAUCCCCUGCCUGUUGAUGGGAGGUCCCUGAUUAAAGGAGCUGCUGAGAGCUCAGUGGUGGCCGUGUCCUGCCAUGGAAGGUCCUUAGGGUGUUUGAUUUUAGUUGAUGUCAGUUCUGGAGAUCUUCUGUUGCUUUCAAGGACAGGAACGGGUGCUGUGUGAUCCACCUUCCUUGCUUCUUUACUUGAAGUCACGUAUUCCACGUUCUAACCUCUGGCUGCAGGCUGGGAUGUUAAAUGUAGCUCUGAAAAGCUGGAUUUAGCAUCAGAUUCCUGUUCAGAAGCAGAAGCUUUUCCCUGUCACUCACUGCUCAUGUUAAAGGCAAACCAAACCCGUUCAGCUGUGUCAGUGCUGGUAGAUGUGGUGGUCUCACGUUUGCUGCUUGUUCCUCAAAUGUUUCACUCCAGAUUCUGACUCCAGGAGCUCCCACCACGGUGUUUGCCACUAGUUGAGACUCGCUGCUACUUCUAAUUCCUCAGCAAACCCCAAAUCUUAACUAGAACAGGUUUCAGCUUCAUGAAUCUCACUGUCAGCAUACAGGCAUAUUCUGAUUUUCACAGAAAACCCAAAUAGCCUCGCUUCAGAUGCCUGAGGCAGCAUUGAAACUGCUCUGGCUUGUCUGUGGCUGCUUGGCACUGCUCUCCCUGUCAUCAACAGAUUGUUGGAGUGGCACAGAACUGUUUGGGGCUUUAUAGGGCUUUUUGGGACAAUCCCAGCAGUCGUAUUGUUAGAGUUCAUAAUAGGCUGUGGAUGUUAGAAAGGGACUUUGGCUCUGCAGAAGCAUUUGCUGCUCGUGGCCUGGCUGAUAUCUCAGUUUGAGAGUUGUUUGUAAACACUGGGGUGUGUGACUGGGGCUGAGUGUGGUGGUGCUGGUCAGGAGCUCAGCUUGCUUUGUGUGGCAUCUGCAAUGUGCUGAAAUACUCUGGAAUGUUCUUAACUGGGAAGUGAAAUCACUGUAAAAAGUGGCCGUAUUUUAACUCUUCUUUCUGGAUGUAAAGAUUAGCGAUCAUUUGUAAUAUUCCAAAUAAAAAUGUUAAAUUAUUUAGCAGUAA
This is an RNA transcript of Prinia subflava (tawny-flanked prinia), 3431 nucleotides long. It is a transcript of the gene named CD46 molecule, with no coding region annotated. The record is from RefSeq and is a predicted model, not a curated record. Lineage: Eukaryota; Metazoa; Chordata; Aves; Passeriformes; Cisticolidae. The transcript is spliced from 13 exons.